RNAcentral lists this transfer RNA (72 nucleotides) under Capra hircus (goat). It matches the Rfam family "tRNA". From Rfam's summary of the family: Transfer RNA (tRNA) molecules are approximately 80 nucleotides in length. Their secondary structure includes four short double-helical elements and three loops (D, anti-codon, and T loops). Further hydrogen bonds mediate the characteristic L-shaped molecular structure. tRNAs have two regions of fundamental functional importance: the anti-codon, which is responsible for specific mRNA codon recognition, and the 3' end, to which the tRNAs corresponding amino acid is attached (by aminoacyl-tRNA synthetases). tRNAs cope with the degeneracy of the genetic code in two manners: having more than one tRNA (with a specific anti-codon) for a particular amino acid; and 'wobble' base-pairing, i.e. permitting non-standard base-pairing at the 3rd anti-codon position. RNAcentral also lists the same sequence under 1 other name. The record is from Rfam by way of RNAcentral. Lineage: Eukaryota; Metazoa; Chordata; Mammalia; Artiodactyla; Bovidae.
UCCCUGGCAGUCCAGUAGUUAGGACUCGGCACUUUCAGUGCCAGGGCCCAGGUUCAAUCCCUGGUCAGGGAA